CGGGGUGUAGUUCAGUGGCUAGAACGCACGCAUGGGGUGCGUGAGGUCGUGGGUUCAAGUCCCACCACCCCGACCA
Molecule: transfer RNA, 76 nt
Filed under: Patescibacteria group bacterium
Lineage: Bacteria
Description: tRNA-Pro
Rfam family: tRNA
About the family: Transfer RNA (tRNA) molecules are approximately 80 nucleotides in length. Their secondary structure includes four short double-helical elements and three loops (D, anti-codon, and T loops). Further hydrogen bonds mediate the characteristic L-shaped molecular structure. tRNAs have two regions of fundamental functional importance: the anti-codon, which is responsible for specific mRNA codon recognition, and the 3' end, to which the tRNAs corresponding amino acid is attached (by aminoacyl-tRNA synthetases). tRNAs cope with the degeneracy of the genetic code in two manners: having more than one tRNA (with a specific anti-codon) for a particular amino acid; and 'wobble' base-pairing, i.e. permitting non-standard base-pairing at the 3rd anti-codon position.
Source: RNAcentral